UCAGCACCACAUACGGGAUCUCUCAGCCAGGCUAUCCAGUGAGCCUCAACCGGUCUCCACCGGAACUUCACCUUCAGCAGCUGUGUCUCCAACGUGAGACCCCUAGAUGAAUUCCACUGCUCGGGGACCACUGUUUCAAUAUAGCCCAAUAGCCAGAGGGAGGGGACGGACUGUCCUCAGAUCAUCUUUACCCAGCCAGGUUGGCUCCUGAAGGACCAGAGGUAAGGUUCAACUAAGACCUUCACACUGGAGCACCAAUGUCCAGUCUCCCACACUGAGCAACCUCUUCAGGUAACUGAGAUCUGAGCGUGAGGACCUGACUGACCCUGACAGUCUUCCCGUUCCAGCCACCUAAGAUAGCUCUCACAGAGACUCAGGGGAAACCGAGAUCCUGACUGGUACCAAAUAAUGAGAAACCUCUUGGAAUCUCAGUUUGAAGGCACCGGAAGUUGUUACUUGACACUCGCUUCGUAGACAUCCGUUCCGUCUUCAUCAACAGAGCACUCCAUGCCAAGUCAUUUGUAAUAGACAGGAAUUGACUGGAUUGACGGACCAUGGCUCUGAUGGCCCAGAAAUCCAAAAUGAAGGGCCGGCACCGUGUCUUGCUGCCUGGCAGCACUGCAGUAAAGCACCCUGGGUCAGAAGGCGGAGAGGUGGGGAAGUGAAGCUCUGUCGAAGGAACAUACCGCCCAAUAAUGACCCUGGGAACUAAGUGCUGUGUAUGUGAUCCCAGCUCUGGGCUAGGAAGAAAGAUCAACAGUUCAGGUGCAGCCCAGGCUGCAUAACGAACUUACCUAAAAAGUCAUUACAAUAAAUAAAUA
Long non-coding RNA from Mesocricetus auratus (golden hamster), 821 nucleotides. RefSeq lists it as uncharacterized. Lineage: Eukaryota; Metazoa; Chordata; Mammalia; Rodentia; Cricetidae. The record is from RefSeq and is a predicted model, not a curated record. The transcript is spliced from 3 exons.